This 253-nucleotide ribosomal RNA is filed under the name uncultured bacterium. Its description in RNAcentral is "partial 16S ribosomal RNA". It matches the Rfam family "Bacterial small subunit ribosomal RNA", at positions 524 to 776 of the family's 1533-position model. The record is from RNAcentral.
UACGGAGGUGGCAAGCGUUGUUCGGAAUUACUGGGCGUAAAGGGCGCGUAGGCGGCUAGGCAAGUCAGAUGUGAAAGCCCCGGGCUUAACUCGGGAAUUGCAUCUGAAACUGCUGGGCUUGAGUUCUGGAGGGGGUAGUGGAAUUCCCAGUGUAGCGGUGAAAUGCGUAGAUAUUGGGAGGAACACCUGCGGCGAAGGCGGCUACCUGGACAGAAACUGACGCUGAGGCGCGAAAGCGUGGGGAGCGAACAGG